RNAcentral lists this ribosomal RNA (508 nucleotides) under uncultured bacterium. RNAcentral describes it as "partial 16S ribosomal RNA". It matches the Rfam family "Bacterial small subunit ribosomal RNA", at positions 28 to 523 of the family's 1533-position model. The record is from RNAcentral.
GAUGAACGCUAGCUACAGGCUUAACACAUGCAAGUCGAGGGGGAACGAUAGAGAAAGCUUGCUUUUUCUAGGCGUCGACCGGCGCACGGGUGAGUAACGCGUAUCCAACCUGCCCAUCACUUGGGGAUAACCUUGCGAAAGUAAGACUAAUACCCAAUGACGUCUCUAGAAGACAUCUGAAGGAGAUUAAGGAUUUAUCGGUGAUGGAUGGGGAUGCGUCUGAUUAGCUUGUUGGCGGGGUAACGGCCCACCAAGGCGACGAUCAGUAGGGGUUCUGAGAGGAAGGUCCCCCACAUUGGAACUGAGACACGGUCCAAACUCCUACGGGAGGCAGCAGUGAGGAAUAUUGGUCAAUGGACGAGAGUCUGAACCAGCCAAGUAGCGUGCAGGAUGACGGCCCUAUGGGUUGUAAACUGCUCUUAUAAGGGAAUAAAGUGAGCCACGUGUGGCUUUUUGCAUGUACCUUAUGAAUAAGGACCGGCUAAUUCCGUGCCAGCAGCCGCCGUAA